This 347-nucleotide ribosomal RNA is filed under the name uncultured Actinomycetes bacterium. RNAcentral describes it as "bacterial SSU rRNA". It matches the Rfam family "Bacterial small subunit ribosomal RNA", at positions 314 to 671 of the family's 1533-position model. The record is from RNAcentral. Lineage: Bacteria; Bacillati; Actinomycetota; Actinomycetes.
UGGGACUGAGAUACGGCCCAGAUUCCUUACCGGGAGGCAGCAGUGGGGAAUAUUGCACAAUGGGCGCAAGCCUGAUGCAGCGACGCCGCGUGGGGGAUGACGGCCUUCGGGUUGUAAACCUCUUUCAAUAGGGACGAAGCGCAAGUGACGGUACCUGUAGAAGAAGCACCGGCCAACUACGUGCCAGCAGCCGCGGUAAUACGUAGGGUGCGAGCGUUGUCCGGAAUUANUGGGCGUAAAGAGCUCGUAGGUGGUUUGUCGCGUUGUCCGUGAAAUUUCACAACUCAAUUGUGAGCGUGCGGGCGAUACGGGCAGACUGGAGUACUGCAGGGGAGACUGGAAUUCCU